Molecule: ribosomal RNA, 497 nt
Filed under: uncultured bacterium
Lineage: Bacteria
Description: partial 16S ribosomal RNA
Rfam family: Bacterial small subunit ribosomal RNA
Source: RNAcentral
GAUGAACGCUGGCGGCGUGCCUAAUACAUGCAAGUCGAGCGAACAGACGAGGAGCUUGCUCCUCUGACGUUAGCGGCGGACGGGUGAGUAACACGUGGAUAACCUACCUAUAAGACUGGGAUAACUUCGGGAAACCGGAGCUAAUACCGGAUAAUAUAUUGAACCGCAUGGUUCAAUGGUGAAAGACGGUUUUGCUGUCACUUAUAGAUGGAUCCGCGCCGCAUUAGCUAGUUGGUAAGGUAACGGCUUACCAAGGCAACGAUGCGUAGCCGACCUGAGAGGGUGAUCGGCCACACUGGAACUGAGACACGGUCCAGACUCCGACGGGAGGCAGCAGUAGGGAAUCUUCCGCAAUGGGCGAAAGCCUGACGGAGCAACGCCGCGUGAGUGAUGAAGGUCUUCGGAUCGUAAAACUCUGUUAUUAGGGAAGAACAAAUGUGUAAGUAACUAUGCACGUCUUGACGGUACCUAAUCAGAAAGCCACGGCUAACUACGUG